ACAACCACUGCACCUCCAGCAACAACAUCAUCAACAGUACCACCAAUGCCACCAGCCACUGCUCCAGCUACCACUGCCUCUACAGAUCCACCAUCAAGAGAGGAGGGUGUCCUGAUCCUGCUAUUCAGAAUCACUAGAAUUUUUACACAGAAACUGUUGGACCACAGCUCCGUUGAGUUCCAGAACCUGGCUCAAAAUGUCACCACAGAGUUGAAUCGUGGAUACUGGAGGGCUUUCCCUCUAACCUUCCUGAGAUGCAUUGUAACAGGUUUCAGGCGUGGACCUCCUCUCUUUUUUCCCAUUUUCCGUGCGGAUUCCAUAGAAGUGGACACAAACGUGAUCUUCAGGAACCAGAGCGUGGUUCCAAAUGUCACCGUGGCUGAAACAGCCCUUGUGGAGGCCCUCAAUAACUCAGUAGUCUUUUUAAACAUCAUUCCAUCCACCAUUAAUGCAGAAAUGGGCAAUACUGCCACCACUACCCCAACAAUGAUGACAACAAGCAGUGCCAUGGCAACAAUCAAACCCCAGAAAGUCAUCACUUUUCUGUUUCCUCUUAUUCUGGCCAUUUACUUUUUGUCAACAGACAUGAAGCUGCUUCAAUUUUAGCCGGAGAAAUACCUGCCUUUAUGCUUUUUGAAAAUGUAGCAAAAUCUGCGAGAAAAAAUACACAAGGUUUCAUUAAUGUUUAUUUUUCAUUUUAUUCUGCUAUUUUUCUGUCUCUUCAAUUACCUACCUCAUUUAAAAUGAUGGGUGACGAGAGCUGAAAAGUCAUUUUUCACUUGUGUGAUUAUUUAUAUUCGAAUAUAUCUCUACUGUACAAUCUGUCGCUCUAUUCUUUAUUAAAGAUUUAAUUUUAAGUGCAAACAUAAAUGUUUUAUUCAUACAUACAAAUUUAUCAAAUAUGACAUCAUAUUCGUUUUUUUGCUGGCCAAAAAAAAAGUGUCUUCAUCAGUUACAAUUGCCUUUCGUGACUAUUACUUUCUAGCCCACAAAAUAGUGUACUGUUAAUUAACUGAGGGCUUAAGAAAUGUAUGUUCGAAACUAUAGUUUGAAAAGAUGUCUAUUAUAUAAAUAAAUCUCUUAAUAUAUUUGCAUGAUAUUUGCUUCAGACUGUUUUGUCAAGGUAGACGUUAUGUAUGGAUUAACAGUGUUUCCUGAACUCCAGCCA
Long non-coding RNA from Anguilla rostrata (American eel), 1168 nucleotides. RefSeq lists it as uncharacterized. The transcript is spliced from 4 exons. The record is from RefSeq and is a predicted model, not a curated record. Lineage: Eukaryota; Metazoa; Chordata; Actinopteri; Anguilliformes; Anguillidae.